GAUGAACGCUGGCGGCGUGCCUAAUACAUGCAAGUCGAGCGAACAGAUGAGGAGCUUGCUCCUCUGACGUUAGCGGCGGACGGGUGAGUAACACGCGGAUAACCUACCUAUAAGACUGGGAUAACUUCGGGAAACCGGAGCUAAUACCGGAUAAUAUAUUGAACCGCAUGGUUCAAUAGUGAAAGACGGUUUUGCUGUCACUUAUAGAUGGAUCCGCGCCGCAUUAGCUAGUUGGUAAGGUAACGGCUUACCAAGGCAACGAUGCGUAGCCGACCUGAGAGGGUGAUCGGCCACACUGGAACUGAGACUCGGUCCAGACUCCUACGGGAGGCAGCAGUAGGGAAUCUUCCGCAAUGGGCGAAAGCCUGACGGAGCAACGCCGCGUGAGUGAUGAAGGUCUUCUGAUCGUAAAACUCUGUUAUUAGGGAAGAACAAAUGUGUAAGUAACUAUGCACGUCUUGACGGUACCUAAUCAGAAAGCCACGGCUAACUACGUG
This 497-nucleotide ribosomal RNA is filed under the name uncultured bacterium. Its description in RNAcentral is "partial 16S ribosomal RNA". It matches the Rfam family "Bacterial small subunit ribosomal RNA", at positions 28 to 507 of the family's 1533-position model. The record is from RNAcentral.